Molecule: long non-coding RNA, 98 nt
Organism: Juglans microcarpa x Juglans regia
Lineage: Eukaryota; Viridiplantae; Streptophyta; Magnoliopsida; Fagales; Juglandaceae
Exons: 3
Source: RefSeq, a predicted model, not a curated record
GGCACUCGGCAGCAAUAGCGUGGUCGUUGUUCGUGGUCGAGUCAACGACGGAGUUUAGCAACCCAUACGGUUAAAUCCCCCGAGAAAUCGUUCCAGUA